AACAGUACACAAGCAAGAGAGCGCUCCCCCCCGACUCCGCCGCUGCCCCCGCCUGCGUAUCCUACUUUCGUCCGCCGGCUGUCUCGGACGAAGAUUAUGGAUCUCCCCCCAGCCAGAAUCUCCGAGGGGUGGGAAAGGGAACCCCUACCCUCGAAGAGACGAGAUCAAGAAGAAGAUCAUUAAGGACCUUCUCCUCGAGACUAUUAGAUCGGUGUUCUUCCGGUCAGGACGGGCCCAGAGCCGCGGAGACGAUCCCAGCCGGGGGAGUGCGUCCGAAACAUCUUCCCGGCGCGGAAACUCGCCCGGAUGACGCCUCCUCGGCCUCGCGGUGCCCGGUUUCUUCCUCCGCUUUGCCCUCCUGGAUUCCUUCCGAUUUCUUCAGUUUCUUCCUCGUUCUGAAAUAUCAUUGUUUGUCUGUGUGUGUGGUCAAGAGGUCGAUCCUUUUUUCUGGUCCUGUUCAUGGCGUCUCGCAGCAUGUUUGAAAUUCAGAUGUAAUUUCCUUUCCCCUUCACCUCCACGGAUUUGUUCAAUUGCGACGAUCAUCUGUACGUGUUCAACUUGAAGAUAACCAACGAUCGUUCCCGAUCCGACCUGGAGUACCUGAGUAAACACCAGGGUAGAGGAAUUGCAUCCAAUAAUUGGAUUACUCUCAAUGGCUGACUCCGAUAUUCUCGGCAAGUCAUAUUUAUCAAGCUAGGUGACCUCGGCCAACGACUUCGUUGUCCCGUCAUCUGGCGAUAGCCAAUUAUAGCGUCCCAGCUCCCACACUCUCUUUUUCUAUUGCUACCCAGUUGAAGAACUGAAUAUAUUUUACGUGUUUUUUUUUCUAGGUUUAAAUAGAAUAUUAUCAAAGUCGUCGCGAACCUGCCCUUUCCCAGCCCACUCGACCAACAUUCCAAAGAUGGUGCGAUGGAAGUAGAUUGACCGAGUUGACAUCGUCAAAAAUGCAUUGUGGUAGUCAGCGGAUGAAAACUGUUUCAGUAAA
Molecule: long non-coding RNA, 985 nt
Filed under: Spirodela polyrhiza (greater duckweed)
Lineage: Eukaryota; Viridiplantae; Streptophyta; Magnoliopsida; Alismatales; Araceae
Description: long non-coding RNA (SPOL_LNC001556)
Source: RNAcentral